GAGUUGAUCCUGGCUCAGGACGAACGCUGGCGGCGUGCCUAAUACAUGCAAGUCGAGCGGACAGAAGGGAGCUUGCUCCCGGAUGUUAGCGGCGGACGGGUGAGUAACACGUGGGUAACCUGCCUGUAAGACUGGGAUAACUCCGGGAAACCGGAGCUAAUACCGGAUAGUUCCUUGAACCGCAUGGUUCAAGGAUGAAAGACGGUUUCGGCUGUCACUUACAGAUGGACCCGCGGCGCAUUAGCUAGUUGGUGAGGUAACGGCUCACCAAGGCGACGAUGCGUAGCCGACCUGAGAGGGUGAUCGGCCACACUGGGACUGAGACACGGCCCAGACUCCUACGGGAGGCAGCAGUAGGGAAUCUUCCGCAAUGGACGAAAGUCUGACGGAGCAACGCCGCGUGAGUGAUGAAGGUUUUCGGAUCGUAAAGCUCUGUUGUUAGGGAAGAACAAGUGCAAGAGUAACUGCUUGCACCUUGACGGUACCUAACCAGAAAGCCACGGCUAACUACGUGCCAGCAGCCGCGGUAAUACGUAGGUGGCAAGCGUUGUCCGGAAUUAUUGGGCGUAAAGGGCUCGCAGGCGGUUUCUUAAGUCUGAUGUGAAAGCCCCCGGCUCAACCGGGGAGGGUCAUUGGAAACUGGGAAACUUGAGUGCAGAAGAGGAGAGUGGAAUUCCACGUGUAGCGGUGAAAUGCGUAGAGAUGUGGAGGAACACCAGUGGCGAAGGCGACUCUCUGGUCUGUAACUGACGCUGAGGAGCGAAAGGGUGGGGAGCGAACAGGAUUAGAUACCCUGGUAGUCCACGCCGUAAACGAUGAGUGCUAAGUGUUAGGGGGUUUCCGCCCCUUAGUGCUGCAGCUAACGCAUUAAGCACUCCGCCUGGGGAGUACGGUCGCAAGACUGAAACUCAAAGGAAUUGACGGGGGCCCGCACAAGCGGUGGAGCAUGUGGUUUAAUUCGAAGCAACGCGAAGAACCUUACCAGGUCUUGACAUCCUCUGACAACCCUAGAGAUAGGGCUUUCCCUUCGGGGACAGAGUGACAGGUGGUGCAUGGUUGUCGUCAGCUCGUGUCGUGAGAUGUUGGGUUAAGUCCCGCAACGAGCGCAACCCUUGAUCUUAGUUGCCAGCAUUYAGUUGGGCACUCUAAGGUGACUGCCGGUGACAAACCGGAGGAAGGUGGGGAUGACGUCAAAUCAUCAUGCCCCUUAUGACCUGGGCUACACACGUGCUACAAUGGACAGAACAAAGGGCUGCGAGACCGCAAGGUUUAGCCAAUCCCACAAAUCUGUUCUCAGUUCGGAUCGCAGUCUGCAACUCGACUGCGUGAAGCUGGAAUCGCUAGUAAUCGCGGA
This 1354-nucleotide ribosomal RNA is filed under the name uncultured Bacillus sp. RNAcentral describes it as "bacterial SSU rRNA". It matches the Rfam family "Bacterial small subunit ribosomal RNA", at positions 9 to 1348 of the family's 1533-position model. Lineage: Bacteria; Bacillati; Bacillota; Bacilli; Caryophanales; Bacillaceae. The record is from RNAcentral.